CAAUACCCCCUGUAUAUAGUCUCCACAUUGACUCUGUACCAGUACCUCCUGUAUAUAGCCUCCACAUUGACUCUGUACCAGUACCCCCUGUAUAUAGCCUCCACAUUGACUCUGUACCGUAACACCCUGUAUAUAGCCUCCACAUUGACUCUGUACCGUAAUACCCUGUAUAUAGCCUCCACAUUGACUCUGUACGGUAACACCCUGUAUAUAGCCUCCACAUUGACUCUGUACCGUAAUACCCUGUAUAUAGCCUCCACAUUGACUUUGUACCGUAACACCCUGUAUAUUGCCUCCACAUUGACUCUGUACCGUAAUACCCUGUAUAUAGCCUCCACAUUGACUCUGUACCGUAACACCCUGUAUAUAGCCUCCACAUUGACUCUGUACUGGUACCCCCUGUAUAUAGCCUCCACAUUGACUCUGUACCGUAACACCCUGUAUAUAUCCUCCACAUUGACUCUGUACCGUAAUACCCUGUAUAUAUCCUCCACAUUGACUCUGUACCGUAACACCCUGUAUAUAGCCUCCACAUUGACUCUGUACCGUAAUACCCUGUAUAUAGCCUCCACAUUGACUCUGUACCUGUACCCCCUGUAUAUAGCCUCCACAUUGACUCUGUACCUGUACCCCCUGUAUAUAGCCUCCACAUUGACUCUGUACCGUAACACCCUGUAUAUAGCCUCCACAUCGACUCUAUACCGUAACACCCUGUAUAUAGCCUCCACAUUGACUCUGUACCGUAAUACCCUGUAUAUAGCCUCCACAUUGAGUCUGUACCGUAAUACCCUUUAUAUAGCCUCCACAUUGACUCUGUACCGUAAUACCCUGUAUAUAGCCUCCACAUUGACUCUGUACCGUAACACCCUGUAUAUAGCCUCCACAUUGACUCUGUACCGUAAUACCCUGUAUAUAGCCUCCACAUUGACUCUGUACCGUAAUACCCUGUAUAUAUCCUCCACAUUGACUCUGUACCGUAAUACCCUGUAUAUAGCCUCCACAUUGACUCUGUACCGUAAUACCCUGUAUAUAGCCUCCACAUUGACUCUGUACCGUAACACCCUGUAUAUAGCCUCCACAUUGACUCUGUACCGUAACACCCUGUAUAUAGCCUCCACAUUGUUAUUUUACUGCUGCUCUUUAACCACUUGUUACGUUUAUUUCUUAUUCUUAUCCGUAUUUUUGUUAACUGCGUUGUUGGUUAGGGGCUCGUAA
RNAcentral lists this long non-coding RNA (1215 nucleotides) under Oncorhynchus mykiss (rainbow trout). RNAcentral's name for it is "lncRNA (ENSOMYG00000049377.1)". Lineage: Eukaryota; Metazoa; Chordata; Actinopteri; Salmoniformes; Salmonidae. The record is from RNAcentral.